This 493-nucleotide ribosomal RNA is filed under the name uncultured bacterium. RNAcentral describes it as "partial 16S ribosomal RNA". It matches the Rfam family "Bacterial small subunit ribosomal RNA", at positions 28 to 506 of the family's 1533-position model. The record is from RNAcentral.
GACGAACGCUGGCGGCGCGCUUAACACAUGCAAGUCGAACGGAAAGGCCUGCUUUCCCUUGUGGAUUGCGGGUACUCGAGUGGCGAACGGGUGAGUAACACGUGAGUGAUCUGCCCCCAACUUGGGUAUAAGCCUGGGAAACUGGGUCUAAUUCCCGAUAGGACUGCAGGGUGGUGCCUGUGGUGGAAAACGAUUUUCUAGUGGUUGGGGAUGAGCUCGCGGCCUAUCAGCUUGUUGGUGGGGUAAUGGCCUACCAAGGCGGCGACGGGUAGCCGGCCUGAGAGGGUGGACGGCCACAUUGGGACUGAGGUACGGCCCAGACUCCUACGGGAGGCAGCAGUGGGGAAUAUUGCACAAUGGGCGGAAGCCGGAUGCAGCGACGCCGCGUGGGGGAUGACGGCCUUCGGGUUGUAAACUCCUUUCGACCGCGAGGAAGCCACCUGGUUGGAAGGGUGGUGACGGUAGUGGUAGAAGAAACACCGGCUAACUACGU